CCUACGGGUGGCAGCAGUAGGGAAUAUUGCUCAAUGGGGGAAACCCUGAAGCAGCAACGCCGCGUGGGGGAUGAAGGUUUUCGGAUUGUAAACUCCUUUUGUUAGAGAAGAUAAUGACGGUAUCUAACGAAUAAGCACCGGCCAACUCCGUACCAGCAGCCGCCGUAAUACGGAGGGUGCAAGCGUUACGCGGAAUCACUGGGCGUAAAGAGGGCGGAGGCGGGAUAGCAAGUCAGAUGUGAAAUCCUAUGGGUUAACCAUAGAGGUGCAUUUGAAACUGUUAUUCUAGAGUGUGGGAGAGGUAGGUGGAAUUCUUGGUGUAGGGGUGAAAUCCGUAGAGAUCGAGAGGAAUACUCAUUGCGAAGGCGACCUGCUAGAACAUAACUGACGCUGAUGCGCGAAAGCGUGGGGAGCAAACAGGAUUAGAUACCCCAGUAGUC
Molecule: ribosomal RNA, 440 nt
Filed under: uncultured bacterium
Lineage: Bacteria
Description: partial 16S ribosomal RNA
Rfam family: Bacterial small subunit ribosomal RNA
Source: RNAcentral